This 270-nucleotide small nuclear RNA is filed under the name Dipodomys ordii (Ord's kangaroo rat). Its description in RNAcentral is "7SK RNA". It matches the Rfam family "7SK RNA". From Rfam's summary of the family: 7SK was discovered as an abundant small nuclear RNA in the mid-70s but a possible function has only recently been suggested. Two independent studies have found that 7SK RNA binds the CDK9/cyclin T complex (known as elongation factor P-TEFb). The record is from Rfam by way of RNAcentral. Lineage: Eukaryota; Metazoa; Chordata; Mammalia; Rodentia; Heteromyidae.
GGAUGGGAGGGCGAUCGGCUGCGGCAUCUGUCACCCCAUUGAUCGCCAGGGUUGAUUCCGCUGAUCUGGCUGGCUAGGCGGGAGUACUCUUCUUCCCUCACCGCUCCAUGUGCGUCCCUCUCGGACGUGCUUGGUCGAAGAGGAAGACCAUCCCCGAUAGAGGAGGAACAGUCUUCGGUCAAGGGUAUAUGAGUAGCUGCGCUCCCCUGCUAGAACCUCCAAACAAGAUGCAGGGCACCAGAAUCAAAUACAUUGACAAACGGGGUCUAU